UGGGGAAUUUUGGACAAUGGGCGCAAGCCUGAUCCAGCCAUGCCGCGUGCGGGAAGAAGGCCUUCGGGUUGUAAACCGCUUUUGUCAGGGAAGAAAAGGUUCUGGUUAAUACCUGGGACUCAUGACGGUACCUGAAGAAUAAGCACCGGCUAACUACGCGCCAGCAGCCGCGGUAAUACGUAGGGUGCAAGCGUUAAUCGGAAUUACUGGGCGUAAAGCGUGCGCAGGCGGUUAUGCAAGACAGAGGUGAAAUCCCCGGGCUCAACCUGGGAACUGCCUUUGUGACUGCAUAGCUAGAGUGCGGCAGAGGGGGAUGGAAUUCAGCGUGUAGCAGUGAAAUGCGUAGAUAUGCGGAGGAACACCGAUGGCGAAGGCAAUCCCCUGGGCCUGCACUGACGCUCAUGCACGAAAGCGUGGGGAGCAAACAGGAUUAGAUACCCCGGUAGUCCCUGAGCGGGCUGGCAAGGCGCAU
Molecule: ribosomal RNA, 472 nt
Filed under: uncultured bacterium
Lineage: Bacteria
Description: bacterial SSU rRNA
Rfam family: Bacterial small subunit ribosomal RNA
Source: RNAcentral